UACGUAGGGUGCGAGCGUUAAUCGGAAUUACUGGGCGUAAAGCGUGCGCAGGCGGUCCGUUAAGACAGUCGUGAAAGCCCCGGGCUUAACCUGGGAACUGCGAUUGUGACUGGCGGGCUAGAGUGUGUCAGAGGGGGGUGGAAUUCCACGUGUAGCAGUGAAAUGCGUAGAUAUAGGAAGGAACACCAGUGGCGAAGGCGACCACCUGGACUGAUACUGACACUGAGGUGCGAAAGCGUGGGGAGCAAACAGG
Molecule: unclassified non-coding RNA, 253 nt
Filed under: uncultured Gammaproteobacteria bacterium
Lineage: Bacteria; Pseudomonadati; Pseudomonadota; Gammaproteobacteria
Description: contains 16S-23S intergenic spacer region
Rfam family: Bacterial small subunit ribosomal RNA
Source: RNAcentral